GGGCAAAGCUUACGUGCGGUUCACUCGCUCUUUCUCUCUCUCUCUCUGAACGGCAACCUUAACCUCCCUAGUCCGAACGACCCUUGUAAUUUAUUUAAAAUUAGAAAAAAUAAUAAUAAUAAUAAUACAUCAGUCCUGCUCUGUUAACGCGACGCCGCUUCCAUCGACUUCGACCGACACGUAAAUUGCGGCAAACCUGUGCUAAACAUCCAAGACGGUUCUGUUCCCGGAAGUUAUCCGCAAAGUAUCCGCUCCACUGCAUGAUAUACAGAUGUUCCAUAUCUAAUUCCAAGCUAGUAAAUACUUUCACAACAACCCCAACAAAGAAUUGAACCCAACUACCUUCCCCUCGCCCUGACCCCUCUCACACAACACCAUGGAUUUGGACAAACAAAUACUCAAUGAUGACCCAAAUGUCACCCUUACCAUUAGAUUGAUAAUGCAAGGAAAGGAAGUGGGAAGUAUCAUAGGGAAAAAAGGAGAAAUAGUAAAGAGGUUUAGAGAAGAGUCGGGUGCCAAAAUAAACAUAUCCGAUGGUUCGUGUCCAGAGAGAAUCGUUACAGUGACGGGCUCAACAAGUUCAAUUUUUAAAGCCUUCACAUUAAUAUGUAAAAAGUUUGAAGAGUGGUGUUCCCAGUUCCAGGAUAUAAACAGCGGAGGCAGCGGGGUACCCCGACCACCCAUCACACUCAGACUGAUCGUGCCGGCAUCACAGUGCGGGUCGCUGAUCGGCAAAGGCGGCUCCAAGAUCAAGGAGAUCAGAGAGGUGACCGGUGCCUCGAUUCAAGUGGCAUCCGAAAUGCUUCCCAACUCGACAGAACGCGCCGUCACCAUUUCAGGAACCGGGGAAGCCAUUACUCAGUGUAUCUAUCACAUUUGCAAUGUCAUGCUCGAGUCCCCCCCUAAAGGAGCAACCAUCCCCUAUCGCCCCAAACCCCAAGUGGGUGGCCCCGUGAUCCUGGCCGGCGGACAGGCCUAUACCAUCCAAGGCAACUACGCCGUCCCCGCCCACACAGACAUGACACUUGGUAAAAGUCCACUCGCAGGACUUGCUGCCUUGGGACUGGGGGGUUUAGCACCGGCUAACACAGGGGGACUAAAUCCUGCAGCGUUAGCAGCCUUGGCCGGUUCGCAGUUGCGCAGCUCGAACUCCCGCAAUUCCCAAAAUUCGAAUCAGCAAACACACGAGAUGACCGUGCCCAAUGAGCUCAUCGGCUGCAUCAUCGGCAAAGGUGGCACCAAAAUAGCGGAAAUCCGACAAAUCUCCGGUGCGAUGAUUCGUAUCUCGAACUGCGACGAUCGGGAGAGUGGCGUCACCGAUCGCACCAUCACCAUCUCCGGCAAUCCGGAUGCGGUCGCGCUUGCCCAGUACCUGAUCAAUAUGAGGUUUGACGAAAAAGAGUAUGAAAGUUGGUAACAAGGUUGCGUGUUCAUCUCCUAAGCCUGCUAACAGACCGAUGCCUUUUCAAAUAAUUCCAGGCCAAGAAGAUCACAUAUCCCGGAUAUCCAUGGAGACGGCCGGCUUGCCCAUGCCGGGUUACCACUACAUCUCGCCCAACCACAUCGUGAAGGCGCCUAUCCACUAACAACCGGACCACAUGAGGGAACCGCAACCGCCGCCUCCAACGCCUCUGUACACCGGCCCCCCGGCUCUCUACUGGCACUUCGACGGGUGCCCCCAGAAUUUAUGGUCUGAUCUGUAAAAUUAAACGUAUAUAAGAAAAAUUCAAUUGCAGAGCAACAAAAAAUGAUAUUUAAAAAAUACGACAAUAUUGUCAAUACUGAUGGAUAAUUUUUACAUAAAAGAUUGGUCAAAGGGGAACAAGCCAAAGAUAUGUUAUUUUUAAUUUUUUAUAUAUAACGUAUUUAUAUAUAUAAUAUUUAGAUACAAUCAGAAAAUUUACUGUUUAUUAUCUGUUAGAUAAUUUUCUAGUUGUAUUUUGCAGAGAGACUUGUUUUUUGCAAGUUGAUUGGAUUGUUGAAAAUCGGUGGUAGUUGUAAACAAUUAAUAAUAAUACAUAUUAAAAAUUAGCCGCGAGAAAUUUCGUAUUCUCGUUUCUGUAAAUACGUUUCGCACGCGUUCCGAAUUAUUGUCCUGUAGAUGUUAGUACCGGAAACACUGAAUGGCUCAAUUUACUCGUACUCAUGUUCACCUACCAGGCAGUAAUGAACUUAACUUAUUCAAAAAAUGUUUUAAAAGACUGUCAAUCAUUAUUUGACUUGCAUAAAAAUGAUCGUGAUAAAUUAUCAGAUCCGUAGCUUGUUAUUGAUUUGUAAAUGCAGACUGGGUUAUUGAAACGUUGAUUCUAAAAAUUUAAUAUUAAUCAUUUGUGUAUUAUUGUUGUUUGAUUUAAACUAAACUGUUAACUCUCACUGUAAUUCACAAAAUUAAUGAAUUGUGAGACAAUUCUAAAACUGAUGUAUUAUAAAAAUUGUAAUUAGUUAUUAAUUUAUUAUUUAUUUAUUUAUUUAUUUAUUUAUUAUAAGUACGUAUUUUUCAGAAGAAUUAAUCUGAUUAAAGCAUCUAAAACAUGUUUGCACCAAACUUCAAUGGAUUAUUUGCCUGGAAAUCCACAAACCUAUGGAUCAAUGCUAUUUUAUAUAUGUAUAUAAAUAAGGAGUACUAAUUAUAAAAGAGCAAUAAUAAAUUUGAGUAUUAAUACAAUCGUGAUACGUUAUACUAGCUUUAGUUAACAAAUUUUGGGUUAUGCAAUAAGAGCGUAAGCACGUAUGUGCCAUAUAUUAGAACGGUAGAAUGUUAAAAGGUUACUUAGGGCAAUAAAGAAAACCUUAAAAAAAUAUUUAAUGGGAGUACUAAAAGUAAAUAACAUAAAUAGUUGUGUUAUAUAUAAUAUUUUUAUAUUAAUAUACAGCUAAAUGAAAUGUUGAAACAAUAUUUCGAUAAAGCAUGUAGAGAAAUAAUUGUAAUGUACAAAAGCUCUUCUAGAUACUCAUUAAAUGCCAUAAGUAUUAUUAAUCGUAGGCGAAUAAAGACGGACUUGAAUUUUCUAUGCACAUAAAACGGUACAAGAAUUCUGUGUAGAUCAUUUAAGUCUGACGUACUGGAUAUAUGGUAUUAUUUUAAAUGUAUUAUUCGCACCAGGACAAUAAUUGUGGACACUUCGUUUUUAUUUAGAAUGUUGGUUUUUUACAUUUAACUUUUUUAUUUACAGCUUACAUUGUUAUAGCGUUAUUUUUAUUAAGUUUAAUUGUUAGAGUGAUCUGGGCACUUUGUGACCAUUCGAAUUAAUCUUUACAGACGUGCAUUUUUAUAUUGGGCUGUGGUUAUUGAAACUUAGUGUUUGUUAUUGUCAUUUCUUCCAAAAUAACUUUUUCGUGCCAAAAAUAAAAUGAUCUUCCUUUCUCACCCGCAGUACUAAAAAGAAAUGCUCAUUUCACUCCAGUUUAGCAAGACAUACUCAUAAAAUACUCUAUCGAAUUUCGAAUCUUUGUGGUUAGUGGUAGCUUUACUGUGAUCAUUGGUGACUUUUGAUGACUAACAUCCACAAAAAUAUGUUUAAAUUAAAGAAAGUGACCAUAAUAAAAUUUAUUUGUGGAUGUUUGCACCACCAACUAACUGAUCAUUUAUUAAUUCCUUGUACUUAAUGAUGCGAAUCAGAUGUUGAAACUUUUACACUCAACACAAAUCAUUUAGUUGGUUUACUUAAAUAAGCAUGCUUUUUAAUUAUGAAAAAGAGUAUUAAUGCGUGUUAUUUAUUCUGGAUCAAGGGAAUUAAUACAUUCCAAAAUAUAUAUAUCGGUAACAUUGGAAAUUGUAACAGAGUGUUUGAAAAGACGAAGAGAUUGAGUGUAAACGUUUCUCUAAGUAGGAUUCUGACUUGCCACCUUCUUCUCUAGUUUGUGUUCUUUUUGUUAACUUUAAGGUAUUGCUUGUUAAAUAGUUGUAGUGAUACAUACUCUAGUCUCGGAUUUAUUAAAAACUAUAUGUUUAUCGAUGUAAUUUAUUAUAAUUCGAUAUGAACAUUUGACUAUAAAUGGGGACAAUCUAUUGUUAUCCCUUUACGUUACUGACUGUUUGUAAUAUUAGAAUAUACAGUACUCAUUAAUUUAUGUGCCAAAUUUUAGAAUUCUCUGAUUCAUAAUAUUUCUAUAUUUAUAAAUGUCAUCUUAUGAAAUCAGACAGGAGGAUAUCUCGAAUAUACAUAGGUUUUAGAAGUAUUUGACAGAGCAUUUGUAAAAAACUUUAGUACAACAGCAAAAAUUGGGAUGGUCUCGUUUUAUCUCAUUCUAGUCUUUCCACUUUGUAAUGUGUGAUAUUUAUACAAAUUUGUUCAAGAUUGUCUAUGAGAACAUCCUGAAAGCUUUAACAUAAAUUUUUGUCUGAAUUUAUUUAGAUAAUUAAUUAUUUGAUCAUCCCAAUUUGCGAUAGUCGAUGCUUCUAAAAGUAGCGUGUACGUUAAAAAAUUGUACUGAUGGGGUUCACAAUAACCCUGUCUAGAUUGUAGUAUGUUUAGAAGGGGCCUUAAUGUCGGCUAUUUCAUAGUUGUCGUGUUGUGCAGGCAAUUUAAACGGUUUUAGCUUUGUCUGUAGCAAAGUGCUAUACAAGUACAUUUUGGUGCCAAACGUGGUAGAUUUACGUACUUAACUGCAACCGAAAAUGUUUGAAUUUUCUCUCAAGUCAAGGUUAUUAAAAAGCAUAUCUUUUCGGUUGUUUUAGAUUUAUAGUACAGAAAAUAAACUUUGGAAAAAAGGAGAACGUCGGUUCUCUGAAGUUUAUUACCAGGAAUGUUUUGUUUGAUAUUUUAAAAGUUUAUGUCACAAGUGAAACUUGAUGUCAUUGACAUAAGCUUUUAUAAAAUGAAUUUAUCCAUGUCAUAUUAACAUGUAACAUAAUUUAUAUAAUUUGUGACUGGGAUAUAUAAAAAAAGAUAUUUUUCAACGUCACAUAUAUCUAAGCUGAGGUCUUAGUCGCCUCUAGCACCCUGAAUUUAAAGAAACACAAUCAGCAAAAUGUAAAAAGAUCAUUUUAUAUAGCCUUUAUUAAAACAGGGUCUUUAUUAAUAAGAGAAAAUAUUGUAGAUAGUUAUAAUGUUUCGUCUUUUGGACAUAAAAAAUUGAACAGUAUUGUUUUUGUGAGAUUAUAUAAUUAUAGUAUUAUAAGAUGCCAAAUUAUUGAAUUCCAUAUAUACUUUUUUAAUAAAACCCGUUGCCAAAAAAUUACUUUUCAAUAAAAUGCUUAUAAUUUUUUAAAGCAAUGUAAAUUUUUUAUAAUUGUUGGCAACAAGUUUCAGGGUAAAUAAAUUAUCGUUAUUUUGAAAUAACGCUACUGUACAUUAUUUUGACUUUUCACAGUAUAUCACUUUCUGAUAAAUACACUGAUUGAUAUCUUUGAAGUGUAUUUGUCUUAAAGUGACUCCUAUGGUAAAAGCUAAUAGAUUCAUAAAUAUUCUAUAUGUACGCUAAUUAUUAGUGCUUUUGCUUUGAGAUCACAACACGACUGUAUUGUAUUAGCAGUAGAGGCAUGCUGUUACUCAAUUUGAAUUUUCUCUGACCCUAUCAUAUCUUUAUAACAUAUCCUGAACUGGGUAAUAAUAUUCUAACUUUAGAGGUACAAAAAACCUUGUAAAAAGAAAAGCGACUGCUCAAUGGUUUUCUUCAUAUCAUUACAUUGUUGCGAGUAACAGCAAAGAUAUUUUGAUAUACAAUCUUGAUUGUAAUAUUUUUAAUUAAUGUAGUUUAUAUUAGGCAAUAAAUUAAUUCGAACUUGUAAAGCAUUAAAAAAAGACAUUUUUAGAUAUUGCACAUAUCUAUUGUUCUUUCCAAGCAAAAUGUUUAGUAUAUACAUAUUUAAAUAAGAUGUUUUAUGUUUGUUUUUGGUUAAUAAAGUGUGACUAUUAA
RNA transcript from Aethina tumida (small hive beetle), 5859 nucleotides. It is a transcript of the gene named poly(rC)-binding protein 3, with no coding region annotated. The record is from RefSeq and is a predicted model, not a curated record. The transcript has 11 exons. NCBI's taxonomy places the organism in Eukaryota, Metazoa, Arthropoda, Insecta, Coleoptera, Nitidulidae.